This 701-nucleotide ribosomal RNA is filed under the name uncultured Providencia sp. RNAcentral describes it as "bacterial SSU rRNA". It matches the Rfam family "Bacterial small subunit ribosomal RNA", at positions 801 to 1502 of the family's 1533-position model. Lineage: Bacteria; Pseudomonadati; Pseudomonadota; Gammaproteobacteria; Enterobacterales; Morganellaceae. The record is from RNAcentral.
UGUAAACGAUGUCGAUUUGGAGGUUGUUCCCUUGAGGAGUGGCUUCCGGAGCUAACGCGUUAAAUCGACCGCUGGGGAGUACGGCCGCAAGGUUAAAACUCAAAUGAAUUGACGGGGGCCCGCACAAGCGGUGGAGCAUGUGGUUUAAUUCGAUGCAACGCGAAGAACCUUACCUACUCUUGACAUCCAGAGAAUUUAGCAGAGAUGCUUUAGUGCCUUCGGGAACUCUGAGACAGGUGCUGCAUGGCUGUCGUCAGCUCGUGUUGUGAAAUGUUGGGUUAAGUCCCGCAACGAGCGCAACCCUUAUCCUUUGUUGCCAGCACAUUAUGGUGGGAACUCAAAGGAGACUGCCGGUGAUAAACCGGAGGAAGGUGGGGAUGACGUCAAGUCAUCAUGGCCCUUACGAGUAGGGCUACACACGUGCUACAAUGGCGUAUACAAAGAGAAGCGACCUCGCGAGAGCAAGCGGAACUCAUAAAGUACGUCGUAGUCCGGAUUGGAGUCUGCAACUCGACUCCAUGAAGUCGGAAUCGCUAGUAAUCGUAGAUCAGAAUGCUACGGUGAAUACGUUCCCGGGCCUUGUACACACCGCCCGUCACACCAUGGGAGUGGGUUGCAAAAGAAGUAGGUAGCUUAACCUUCGGGAGGGCGCUUACCACUUUGUGAUUCAUGACUGGGGUGAAGUCGUAACAAGGUAACCA